CCUGGCGGCACUAGCGCGGUGGUCCCACCUGACCCCAUGCCGAACUCAGAAGUGAAACGCCGUAGCGCCGAUGGUAGUGUGGAAGAUGUGCGAUUGAGACUUCAGUGUCCCCUUCG
This 116-nucleotide ribosomal RNA is filed under the name Klebsiella pneumoniae subsp. pneumoniae. The record is from RNAcentral. Lineage: Bacteria; Pseudomonadati; Pseudomonadota; Gammaproteobacteria; Enterobacterales; Enterobacteriaceae.